CCUGCGGAAGGAUCAUUAAUGAAUUCACUAUGGAGUUGUUGCUGGCCUCUAGGGGCAUGUGCACGCUUCACUAGUCUUUCAACCACCUGUGAACUUUUGAUAGAUCUGUGAAGUCGUCUCUCAAGUCGUCAGACUUGGUUGCUGGGAUUUAAACGUCUCGGUGUGACAACGCAGUCUAUUUACUUAACACACCCCAAAUGUAUGUCUACGAAUGUCAUUUAAUGGGCCUUGUGCCUAUAAACCAUAAUACAACUUUCAACAACGGAUCUCUUGGCUCUCGCAUCGAUGAAGAGCGCAGCGAAAUGCGAUAAGUAAUGUGAAUUGCAGAAUUCAGUGAAUCAUCGAAUCUUUGAACGCACCUUGCGCCCCUUGGUAUUCCGAGGGGCAUGCCUGUUUGAGUGUCAUUAAAUUCUCAAACUCACUUUGGUUUCUUUCCAAUUGUGAUGUUUGGAUUGUUGGGGGCUGCUGGCCUUGACAGGUCGGCUCCUCUUAAAUGCAUUAGCAGGACUUCUCAUUGCCUCUGCGCAUGAUGUGAUAAUUAUCACUCAUCAAUAGCACGCAUGAAUAGAGUCCAGCUCUCUAAUCGUCCGCAAGGACAAUUUGACAAUUUGACCUC
This 616-nucleotide ribosomal RNA is filed under the name Pleurotus floridanus. RNAcentral describes it as "eukaryotic LSU rRNA". The stretch from base 251 to 404 matches the Rfam family "5.8S ribosomal RNA". Lineage: Eukaryota; Fungi; Basidiomycota; Agaricomycetes; Agaricales; Pleurotaceae. The record is from RNAcentral.